RNAcentral lists this ribosomal RNA (694 nucleotides) under Ampithoe lacertosa. RNAcentral's name for it is "12S ribosomal RNA". Lineage: Eukaryota; Metazoa; Arthropoda; Malacostraca; Amphipoda; Ampithoidae. The record is from RNAcentral.
UUUAUUUAUUUUAAAAUAAUAAAAGUUUAACUUUGGCUUUUAAGGUAAAAAUAGUAAUUUUACAUGUUUAUAUUAGUGAUUUUUUUUAAGAUAAAUUAUUUAAUUUUAUAAGUUAAUAAUAUUAGUUAGUAUAAAAUUACCCCUAGUUAUCUAUUUUAGUUAGUAAAAUUAGUGCCAGCAGCUGCGGUUAUACUAUUUACAAUAUACCUUUUUAAAGAAAGGUUUUAUGUAAAGAUAAUAAAAUUUCACAGGUGAAAUUUUAUUUUUUAAUUUAUCAGUUUUAAACAUAUAAUUUUUAUAAACUAGGAUUAGAUACCCUAUUAUUAAGUUUAUUACUUAAAAGAUUAGAGUUAAAAUUAAUAAGUUUGGCGGCUAUUUUUAUUAGAGGAACUUGUUUAGUGAUAGAUAAACCUCGUUUUUUCUUUCUGUUUAUAUUUUUGUAUACCGUUAUUUAAAAAAUUUUUAAUAAAUAUUUUUAACAUAAUUUUUAGUAACUUAAAUCAAGGUGCAGAUAUUAAAUAGUUUAAAUUAGUUACAAUAAAUAUGUUUUUGGUAAAUAUUUUAUUAAAAAUAAAUAAACUUAUUGGAUUUAAUAGUAAUAUAAAUAAAUAUAAAUAUUUUGAUAGUGUACAAAUCGCCCGUCACUCUCUUUGAGAUAAGUCGAAACAAAGUAGAUACACCUGAAGGUGUAUCU